UGGCGAACGGGUGGGUAACGCGUGAGGAACCUGCCUCAAAGAGGGGGACAACAGUUGGAAACGACUGCUAAUACCGCAUAAGCCCACGGCUCGGCAUCGAGCAGAGGGAAAAGGAACAAUCCGCUUUGAGAUGGCCUCGCGUCCGAUUAGCUAGUUGGUGAGGUAACGGCCCACCAAGGCGACGAUCGGUAGCCGGACUGAGAGGUUGAACGGCCACAUUGGGACUGAGACACGGCCCAG
Molecule: ribosomal RNA, 240 nt
Filed under: uncultured bacterium
Lineage: Bacteria
Description: partial 16S ribosomal RNA
Rfam family: Bacterial small subunit ribosomal RNA
Source: RNAcentral